Molecule: transfer RNA, 74 nt
Filed under: Candidatus Woesebacteria bacterium RIFCSPHIGHO2_01_FULL_39_23
Lineage: Bacteria; Candidatus Woeseibacteriota
Also listed under: 1 other name
Description: tRNA-Pro
Rfam family: tRNA
About the family: Transfer RNA (tRNA) molecules are approximately 80 nucleotides in length.
Source: RNAcentral
CGGGGAAUAGUUUAACGGUAGAAUACGCCCAUGGGGUGGGUGUGGUAGGUGUUCAAUUCACCUUUCCCCGACCA